GUGCCAGCAGGCCGCGGAUGUCGGCAUCUCGGUGGACAACGCGGUGGACGUGGCCAAGGAGGCAGCCGACUUCGUCCUGCUGCGUCAUGAGCUUGGCCUGGUCCGCCAGGGCAUCGAUGAAGGCCGACGGACGUUCGCCAAUACCCUCAAGUACAUCUUUCUCACCACCAGUGCCAACUUCGGCAACAUGAUCAGCAUGGCGGUGGCCUCGUUCUUCCUGCCGUUUCUGCCACUGCUGGCCAAGCAGAUCCUGCUUAACAACUUCCUCUCCGACAUCCCGGCCAUUGGCAUCGCCGGUGACCGCGUCGACCCCGACUGGUCGCGUACGCCGCAUCGCUGGGACAUCGGCGAGGUCUUACGCUUCAUGAUCAUCUUCGGCCUGAUCAGCUCUGCCUUCGACCUGCUCACCUUCGGCGUGCUGCUCUACCUGGUCGGCGAGCAGCCGGAGCUGUUUCGCAGCGGCUGGUUCGUCGAAUCGCUGAUCACCGAACUGGCGAUCAUUUUUGCGGUGCGCACGCACAAGCCGUUCUACCGCAGCCGCCCAGGCCGCUUCCUGCUG
This 559-nucleotide ribosomal RNA is filed under the name uncultured bacterium. RNAcentral's name for it is "partial 16S ribosomal RNA". The record is from RNAcentral.